UACGAAGGGGGCUAGCGUUGCUCGGAAUCACUGGGCGUAAAGCGCACGUAGGCGGCUUGUUAAGUCAGGGGUGAAAUCCUGGAGCUCAACUCCAGAACUGCCUUUGAUACUGGCGGACUCGAGUCCGGGAGAGGUGAGUGGAACUGCGAGUGUAGAGGUGAAAUUCGUAGAUAUUCGCAAGAACACCAGUGGCGAAGGCGGCUCACUGGCCCGGUACUGACGCUGAGGUGCGAAAGCGUGGGGAGCAAACAGG
RNAcentral lists this ribosomal RNA (253 nucleotides) under uncultured bacterium. RNAcentral describes it as "partial 16S ribosomal RNA". It matches the Rfam family "Bacterial small subunit ribosomal RNA", at positions 524 to 776 of the family's 1533-position model. The record is from RNAcentral.